This 84-nucleotide ribosomal RNA is filed under the name Staphylococcus delphini. The record is from RNAcentral. Lineage: Bacteria; Bacillati; Bacillota; Bacilli; Caryophanales; Staphylococcaceae.
UCUGGUGCCAAUGGCAAAGAGGUCACACCUGUUCCCAUGCCGAACACAGAAGUUAAGCUCUUUAGCGCCGAUGGUAGUCGGACU